UACAGAGGGUGCAAGCGUUGUUCGGAAUUAUUGGGCGUAAAGGGCGCGUAGGCGGUGCGGUAAGUCUGUUGUGAAAUCUCCGGGCUUAACCCGGAAAGGUCAGCCGAUACUGCGGGGCUAGAGUGCAGAAGGGGCAACUGGAAUUCUCGGUGUAGCGGUGAAAUGCGUAGAUAUCGAGAGGAACACCUGCGGCGAAGGCGGGUUGCUGGGCUGACACUGACGCUGAGGCGCGAAAGCGAGGGGAGCGAACGGG
RNAcentral lists this ribosomal RNA (253 nucleotides) under uncultured bacterium. RNAcentral describes it as "partial 16S ribosomal RNA". It matches the Rfam family "Bacterial small subunit ribosomal RNA", at positions 524 to 776 of the family's 1533-position model. The record is from RNAcentral.